RNAcentral lists this transfer RNA (87 nucleotides) under Acidobacteriota bacterium. RNAcentral's name for it is "tRNA-Leu". It matches the Rfam family "tRNA". From Rfam's summary of the family: Transfer RNA (tRNA) molecules are approximately 80 nucleotides in length. Their secondary structure includes four short double-helical elements and three loops (D, anti-codon, and T loops). Lineage: Bacteria; Pseudomonadati; Acidobacteriota. The record is from RNAcentral. RNAcentral also lists the same sequence under 2 other names.
GCCCAAGUGGCGGAAUUGGCAGACGCGCUAGAUUCAGGGUCUAGUGGUCGCAAGGCCGUGGAGGUUCGAGUCCUCUCUUGGGCACCA